This is a microRNA precursor of human gammaherpesvirus 4 (Epstein-Barr virus), 93 nucleotides long. It matches the Rfam family "mir-BART19 microRNA precursor family". Lineage: Duplodnaviria; Heunggongvirae; Peploviricota; Herviviricetes; Herpesvirales; Orthoherpesviridae. The record is from Rfam.
GUAUCCGUGUCCUGACAACAUUCCCCGCAAACAUGACAUGGGUUAAUUUAAACAUGUUUUGUUUGCUUGGGAAUGCUCUUAGGGCCUGGAAGC